RNAcentral lists this ribosomal RNA (403 nucleotides) under uncultured bacterium. Its description in RNAcentral is "partial 16S ribosomal RNA". It matches the Rfam family "Bacterial small subunit ribosomal RNA", at positions 29 to 526 of the family's 1533-position model. The record is from RNAcentral.
AUUGAACGCUGGCGGCAGGCCUAACACAUGCAAGUCGAGCGAGCGGCGGACGGGUGAGUAAUGUAUGGGGACUGCCCGAUAGAGGGGGAUAACUUGUGGAAACGGUAGGUAAUAGCGCAUAAUAACGGAUACCCCAUAUGGGAUUAGCGAGGAGGUGGGAGAAAGGCUCACCUAGGCGACGAUCUCUAGCUGGUCUGAGAGGAGUAUCAGCCACACUGGGACUGAGACACGGCCCAGACUCCUACGGAGGCAGCAGGGGGGAAUAUUGCACAAUGGGCGCAAGCCUGAUGCAGCCAUGCCGCGUGUAUGAAGAAGGUCUUAGGGUUGUAAAGUACUUUCAGCGGGGAGGCGUUACCCGCAGAAGAAGCACCGGCUAACUCCGUGCCAGCAGCCGCGGUAAUUC